UCUUAAAUUCAAAGCAGCAAAAAUACCCAAUCUAUUUCUGGCUCUUUAACCCAGCCAACCUUUAUAACCGACCUGGCCCUUUUCCCUUUUCUCCCAGAUCGAUUCAAAGCAAGGGAAACAUAAUCAAGAGAUCAGCGUAACCUAGACGCAGCCACACCAUUAGGAGCACCUGACACUCUUAACGUGAUGGAAAGCAACUGCGCGUGUCUCCCUCACUGCUCGAUCUCUCUCUGCGUGCCUCUUCGUCUUCAAAGGCGUGUGAAAAAAAAGACUAGCAACGGAUUCCAGGAUUUUGUUAUUGUUCGUACGAUUGCAGCAGGGCAGAGUCGUCUACGUUCCUGUCCUUGCAACAACGUCCUUGUCUCAUGCGGAUAGGCGCCACAUCGAGCCUCUAGGACAAGAGGAGAUCAAUCAAAACCAUCGAUGUUCUUUUAAAAUUUUAAUUUUUUUUCCUAAAAAUCCGGUUUUCUCAUGAAGAGGCAAGUUUUGUCCUCGUCUAAAAAGAAUUUUCAAAUUUUGAAUGGGCUAGAAUGGUCGACUUUGCCUUUUUCCCUCCUUCUUAGAAAACCCUAAAUCUGAAUCCUAUAUAUAUUUUCUUGGAUGGGUUGUCUAGAGAGAGGUUUUUGUUUUGGUGAAGGCGGAAAUUCUGCAAGUAAAAGGUAAGGAGGAUUUCGGAAAUUUUUCCUUUAGUUGGAUAUUUUUAAAUUAAAAAAGCUAAAAGAAAAAAAAGAGAGGAGAUUUUCGAGUUAGAGAAGCCUUUGGGACUGGGAGAAUUUUUUUAAAGCGACGAAGAACUGAGCGAUACAGUUUCUGGUGUCAUCUGCUACAGUUGGUCCUUCUAAGCUCUCAAAGUCGCAGUUCUGGUAGUGUCAAAGUCACCGUUCUUUUACUCAUUUCCAUCCCUGUUUCGCUGCACACUUAAAGAAAUCUGUCCGGGUUCAUCAAGUACUCCAAUCAUUCCUCUUGAAUUUUGGAAGAGCCGUAAAGGUUCAAGAUUCAGUAUCCUGAGUCCACCCAUAAGAACAGACGAAUAGUUUCUGAAGCUGAAAUAGCAUGAGGGAUCGAAGAACUCGAAGUGGAAGAGUUGAAGAGAAUGGGUCAACAGGGCCCAUUUUAUUUAUUCAUUGUACCUUAAGUAUUUUCUCGUUUUGGGCCUAAGACCCUGUCCUCUUUGUAUUACUAUUUAUAGAAUCUAGGAUAGGAACCAAGUGAAGUGGGUCAAAACCCAAAAAUAAUGGGUCUAAAUAUCGGUCCAGGCGGACAGAACCCGAAUUUGGACCCAACCCGACUCUCUCUCCUUAUCUCUCUCUCUCUCUCUCUUAUUUUCAUUUUCUUAUUUGCUUUUA
This is a non-coding RNA of Solanum lycopersicum (tomato), 1346 nucleotides long. The record is from RefSeq and is a predicted model, not a curated record. NCBI's taxonomy places the organism in Eukaryota, Viridiplantae, Streptophyta, Magnoliopsida, Solanales, Solanaceae.